Stegastes partitus (bicolor damselfish) is the source of this 121-nucleotide long non-coding RNA. RefSeq lists it as uncharacterized. Lineage: Eukaryota; Metazoa; Chordata; Actinopteri; Pomacentridae. The record is from RefSeq and is a predicted model, not a curated record. The transcript has 3 exons.
CUCCUCUGAUGCUGGGACUUACUACUGUGCUGUGGCCACAUGUGGACAGAUACUGUUUGGAAAUGGAACCACGCUGACUAAUGAUCAGCACGAGAACAAUUCACAGGAACAGAAUUCAGCU